RNAcentral lists this long non-coding RNA (3692 nucleotides) under Homo sapiens (human). Its description in RNAcentral is "non-protein coding lnc-KIAA0141-1:1". Lineage: Eukaryota; Metazoa; Chordata; Mammalia; Primates; Hominidae. The record is from RNAcentral.
GAGACAGGGUCUCACCUUGUUGCCCAGGCUGGAGUACACUGGCCAACCUUCAGGUUUCCUCAGGGAAGCUUCCCUGGCUGGGUAAAGCAGCCCCCUCCCCUCCCCCACCUCCAGUUAUCCUCCUUCUUGUCCCACUGUUUGUUUCCUUCACAGCACUUUAACACAAUCUAUAAUUAUCUCAUUUAUUUGUUUAUUGUCUGUCUUUUCCUCUAGAAUGCAAGUUCCCAGAGAGAGAGAGUAGGCAUCAUGCCUGUCUUAUUCAGCACCAUAAUGCUAGCACCUGAGACAGUGCCUGCCACUUAGUAGGUGUUAGACGUGUGAUAAAUAAAAAAGUGGACAAAUUAUCUCAUUGAAGCCCCACAAUAACCUUUGGUGAUGGUAAGCACUAUUAUCCCCACCUUACAGAGGAAGAAACUGAGGCUCAGCCACCUACCCAAGGUCAUGCCACUAGAAAUAAGUACAGCCAAAUUUCUAACGUAGGUCUCUCUGACUCCAAGUUUGAUGGAAAGUGGGGACCAUUCUUUUGUUUGUUUUCCGAGAUGGAGUCUUGCUCUGCUGUCCAGGCUAGAGUGCAGUGGCACAAUCUCGGCUCACUGCAACCUCUGCCUCCCGGGUUCAAAUGAUUCUCCUGCCUCAGCCUCCCAAGUAGCUGGGAUUACAGGUGCGCACCACCGUGCCCAGCUAAUUUUGAUAUUUUUAGUAGAGAUGGGGUUUCCCCAUGUUGGCCAGGCUGGUUUCGAACUCCUGACCUCGUGAUCAGCCCACCUCGGCCUCCCAAAGUGCUGGGAUUACAGGUGUGAGCCACCGCGACCAGCCAGGGACCAUUCUUAACCAGCCUAAACUGCACCUGGUUCCUCUUCCUGUCUGCCUGUGUAUCUCCACUCCCAACCCAGGCAUCCCCAGAGAAACCUGGGGCAGGGAAGGGAGGAACACAGAAUCUGGAAGAAUGUAAAUCUGACCUUUUCUUUUACAGGCUUAAAAUCUGUAAAUGGCUCCUCUCCAACCCCUCAAUCCAAGCACUUUAAGUUGACCAGCAGGUCCUUAGUUCUGGCCCCUGCCUUCUUCUCCAACUUCUCCUGCCCUCCUGAGCCACCUCACCUCCUCCUCCACCUCCAGACCCUGGCACAUACUCCUCCUCAGCCUGCAAGGCUGACCCCUUCCUCAGUAGCCUAUCCCUCAUUUGCCCUUUGAAACUCAGCUCUGGCACCACCCCUUCCAGAAAGCCUCUAGACUUUGGAGAGGACAGCGCCUUUAGGUCUCCUGCCAGAAUUUCCGGCUCAAGGCAGGGCCGAACACAAGAUGUGGUCAUUGUUUACCUGUCUGCCUUUCCCACAGAGACUGUGUGUCAUUCUUGGGGUCCAGUACCCUGUGCCGGUCUGGCACAUGGGAGGGGCUCAGGAAAUGUUUGUAGAAUGAGUUAAUCAACCAGUGACAGGAUUCUGGUACCCAGUCGGCCACCACAUCUCCUCCAACUUCCUUAACUCCAGACAUCUUUUCCUGGGCUAGGCCUUAACAGAAGGAACUCCUCACCCUUCACUGUGGGGUCAAGUCAGGGGUGGAGACAAUGCGGGCCCCUCCCCCGCUGAUUCAGCGCCUCUCCUAAUGAGGUGAGGCCUCAGGUUUAGGAAGGGUUGCCACACCCACUGGUAGGGGGAGGGUCUGUGAUUCUGUAACUGGAGGAUAGGUAGGGGGCUUCGGUUGUAGACUGAGUAGGGAGCUGACCUAAGCCGGUAGAUUCAAGUACUGCCCGAGAGAUCUCUGCCUUUCCGCCCCACACCCCAGUCACCCCGCGCCAGGCUCUCGGCGCGUCAGAUCCCGGCCCUGCGUUCUUCAUCUCCUGCCCCGCCACGCCCCCAACUGCAGAUCCAACUCGGGUCUCUCCGAAAGCAGCAAGGAGCCUCGGGGUGGGCUCUAUGCCCCGUGAUGCUCCGCGUCUGGGAACGGAUGAAGGGGUGCCAGCAACCCCCGCCGUCCCCGCUGUCGAUCCGGGUUUACACGAGGCUCAUCCGGGAUUAGUCCCUGCGGUCGGCUAAUCCCAGCGGCUGGACCGACCCCGGGGUCCGGAGCGAGGCCCACACAGUACCGGCCUAGGGAGCUAGGGCGCGGGUCGAGCAAAAGCGCGCGACGCUGGGCGGGUGUGGGGGUGGGGAGGGGCGGAGGAGGGAGCAACGCCCCGGGAGGCGGGGCCAGGAACCGGCUGAUCCGGUCUCUGUUUUCCGACCUCUCCGGAGCGGGUGUUUACCCGGGAGCCGGACGGAGGAGGCCGGGGCCGGUCGAGCCCGGAAGGGGGGAGACACACCCGCCCGAAACCCCAUGGGCGGGACACAGUCCCCCCUCCCAGAGAAGUCCCCAGUGGAGACGCCCCUUAAGAGACUUUCUCAUGGCCAACACAAGCCCUCCCAACACCCGGAGACAGCCCCGACCCAGGGAAGAAAUGGCUCCAGAGGCCCUACCCUCGGGAGAGAGAGGUAUCCCAGGGCUCCUAGGAGAAAAGACAACUCAGAGAUGCCCAGCCUCAUCCUAAAGUGCUGCAGGGCAGAGAAACCCCCAUAGGAGAGAUGGGGGUAGGGCCAGAAACAUCCCUUCCCAGACGUGUUUCAGAGAUAGCCCCCUUCCCUGGGAAGAGAGAUGGCCCGAAACUGACUUGCCUUAAGUACUCCCAGGAACCCUGGGAGGAAAACAGGCUCCCCAGAGAGCCUGGGUAAUUGGGGGAGACAUGCUCCCGUGGUCCUCAGCGGGAACACAUGUCCCCCGGAGACUCCCAAGGGGAGAGAUAGGGCCUAGAGAGACCCCAGAGGUGAGGGAUGCCCAGAGAACUUCCCCCCACCCCGGAAUGUGAAACAUGCUUCAAGGACCCUAGGAGAGAAAUAUGUCCCCAUAUACCCUCCCCCUACGGAGAGACAUGCCCUGAAGUAGGGGGAUGGGGACCGACUAGGUCCCCUCUGGGAAGACACAGACUGGGUCAGGCUGGGUUUGAGGGGGGCUCUCCUCUGGCCAAAUGUCGCCUAUUGGUACAUAAAACUGUACGCGACACAGGCAUUGGGGAGGGGCUUCACAGACCUAGGACCCACAGGGAUAGUCCCCAGUGCUGUCGCCAACCCCUGCCCACCUUUGGUUUCAUCUCUCCAGUGCCCAGUUGGUGACAGACUCAGUGCCCUGGCCCCAACCAGGGGGCUGGGGGCUCUGUCUUUGCCUGUGGGAAGGGCUUCUCAGCUCUCCCAGCCAUCUGGGCCACCCUCUUUCUUCUGGCUUCUCCAUUGUGCAAAAUGCUCCUCUGCUCUUCUGCUCAGUGCUCAGGGGUCUCUAAGACCAGGGCAAGGUACCCAGGCCACUAGGGGCUUCCAGUGGGAGUCCACUGACCCCAGGAAUGCCGCCUGUCUGGACCACCUUCUCCACCAAGCAAAUGGGCCUCAUACAAUCUUCUUGCCCGAAUCCUGACCUCCAGGACCCAGGACAAUCCUUGAGGCCACUGUUCCACCAGCUGGGCACCCAAUACUACCAACUCCAAGACUAUUGCACCUGCCCCAUUUGUGCAGGGGAAAGGGGCUGUCUCUUUAACAAGCCCCAAGCCCAUCUCCUGGGCCUCCCCAAGGGAAAGGAGCCUUUGGCCAACCCCUAGACCUGGCUGCUGCCACCCCAUCCCAUUCUACCCCUUCCCCUCUGUAGAAGGGCUUCGUAUGCCAGGGCUACCA